This is a long non-coding RNA of Podarcis raffonei (Aeolian wall lizard), 724 nucleotides long. RefSeq lists it as uncharacterized. The transcript is spliced from 2 exons. NCBI's taxonomy places the organism in Eukaryota, Metazoa, Chordata, Lepidosauria, Squamata, Lacertidae. The record is from RefSeq and is a predicted model, not a curated record.
AGCUCAGUAGGGACCAGGAGCCUAGAAGUGGAUUUCCGAAGGAAGGCAGCAGCCAGAGGGUUGAGAGCCAGGAUAUGCUGAUCCUGACCAAGGACGGAUUAAUCCAACAAUUGUCACAAAAUGCCAUAUCUCCCCUGCUGUGGCUUCCAGAUUUGGAGAUUCGAUAAUGAAGAUUGAUCAAGCAGAGAUAAAAAUGUAUGCUUUGACUUUGAGGUGGGGGUGGCAGGGAGUGGGAAGAGGAUAGAAGUUGGGAAGAAGAAGGAGGUUGAAUUUGAUAUGUUGAUUAAAUAUGUAGGUUUCAGUGAUCUGUUUGACUGGGCAGGCAAGAUGCCUGAGAAGCAAUUACAAAGAGGACAAAGAGGACACCCAAAGGAGAAACGAUAAGAAGCAGGCAAUUCAUUGAGGUGCAAUCCUUUCCUCAUUGCUUCCCCCUGCUUCUGUGUAGUUGACCCUCAAGUCACAGGGGGUGUUUCAAUCAGUCCUUAACAGGCUGGACCCAGGGGUAUCUGAAGGACCCCUUUCUCCCAUAAUCACCUCUCCUUUCACUUAGAUCACAACUGGAGGCCCUGCUUUGGAUGUACCAUCUUCUGAGCUUUGCCAGACGGCUACUGGAGACAGGGUCUUCAUGCCUCCAAAACCUGAACAGCAACAGUCCACCCUGCAACAAUUAUGCUGCAAGGGCCCACGUGUUUCUCAGUACAGUAUAAAAUUAUUCCUGAUUUUC